AUUGAACGCUGGCGGAAUGCUUUACACAUGCAAGUCGAACGGCAGCACGGGGGCAACCCUGGUGGCGAGUGGCGAACGGGUGAGUAAUAUAUCGGAACGUGCCCAGUCGUGGGGGAUAACGUAGCGAAAGUUACGCUAAUACCGCAUACGAUCUACGGAUGAAAGCGGGGGAUCGCAAGACCUCGCGCGAUUGGAGCGGCCGAUAUCAGAUUAGGUAGUUGGUGGGGUAAAGGCUCACCAAGCCAACGAUCUGUAGCUGGUCUGAGAGGACGACGAGCCACACUGGGACUGAGACACGGCCCAGACUCCUACGGGAGGCAGCAGUGGGGAAUUUUGGACAAUGGGCGCAAGCCUGAUCCAGCCAUUCCGCGUGCAGGACGAAGGCCUUCGGGUUGUAAACUGCUUUUGUACGGAACGAAAAAGCCUUGGCUAAUACCCAGGGUCCAUGACGGUACCGUAAGAAUAAGCACCGGCUAACUACGUGCCAGCAGCCGCCGCAG
RNAcentral lists this ribosomal RNA (500 nucleotides) under uncultured bacterium. Its description in RNAcentral is "partial 16S ribosomal RNA". It matches the Rfam family "Bacterial small subunit ribosomal RNA", at positions 30 to 523 of the family's 1533-position model. The record is from RNAcentral.